UGCUGCCCCUGAAUUGGUAAUUUUGAGAAAAUUUUGCUGUUUUUGGUUAUUAUCUUGAAUAUUAUUAUAGAUAGAGAUAAACUGUGAACAGCAAAAAUGUUCAACAAAGUAAGAUCUACAAAUAAGUCAACAUGACCAAAAUGGUCUGUUGACCCCUUUAGAAGUAAUUGCCCUUUAUAGUCAAUUUUUAACCAUUUUUCGUAAAUCUUAAUUAUCUUUUACAAAAAUCUUCUCCUCUGAAACUACUGGACCAAAUUAAACCAAACUUGGCCACAAUCAUCAUUGGGGUAUCUAGUUUAAAAAUUGUGUCCGGUGACCCGCCCGCCCAACCAAGAUGGCCGCCAUGGCUAAAAAUAGAACAUAGGGGUAAAAUGCAGUUUUUGGCUUAUCACUCAACAACCGAAACAUUUAGAGCAAAUCUGACAUGUAGUAAAAUUGUUUAUCAGGUCAAGAUCUAUCUGCCCUGAAAUUUUGAGAUGAAUCGGACAAUUCGUUGAUAGGUUGCUGCCCCUGAAUUGGUAAUUUUAAGGAAAUUUUGCUGUUUUUGGUUAUUAUCUUGAAUAUUAUUAUAGAUAGAGAUAAACUGUAAACAGCAAAAAUGUUCAGCUAAAUAAGAUCUACAAAUAAGUCAACAUGACCAAAAUGGUCUGUUGACCCCUUUAGGAGUUAUUGCCCUUUAUAGUCAAUUUUUAACCAUUUUUCGUAAAUCUUAGUUAUCUUUUACAAAAAUCUUCUCCUCUGAAACUACUGGACCAAAUUAAACCAAACUUGGCCACAAUCAUCAUUGGGUAUCUAGUUUAAAAAUUGUGUCCGGUGACCCGGCCAACCAAUCAAGAUGGCCGCCAUGGCUAAAAAUAGAACAUAGGGGUAAAACGCAGUUUUUGGCUUAUCACUCAAAAACCAAAGCAUUUAGAGCAAAUCUGACAUGUGGUAAAAUUGCUUAUCAGGUCAAGAUCUAUCUGCAACAACAAAAGAAAGAGAGUUUUUAACGACCUCAGCUGGCUAUACAACCCUUGCACAAUCAACUGAAUUUUGCAGAAAUCAUGAAUAGGAUAGAUUGCCCUUAUAUGAUAAUUUUUUAUUACCUUUUUGCUUUUUUUGGCAAAGUGGGGGUGGGGGGGUUGCGCAACAACAAAACUACUUCACAACUUUCUCAUUACUUUGCAUUUCUUGUUAGAUAAAUUUUACAAAAAUUCUCCCCUGAAACAACUGUUGAAUUUAAACAAACUUGGUUUAAAUCACCACUAGGAUAUCCAGGGACCACUGUGUAUGAUGACCCUGCCUGCCCACAUGGCUGAAAUAAAACAUAGGUUUCAAAUGCACUUUUUAGUAUUAUAUCUCUGAAACUAAAUGACAGUACAACAGUUGCAUUUAUCAUGCAACAAUUGUAAAUAAAAAUAUCAGGUGAGCGACACAGGGUCCUUGGACCCUCUAGUUUGUCAUCACAACUCCUUUCAAACCAUGCAUCAGAAUUUCAUGAAACCUUUUCAGAUAAUAAGGACAUACUAUGUAGUUGUGCAUAUUGACGGGAAAUUGCGAUUCAAUUUUUUUUCUAGGAGUUACGCCCCUUUGAACUUAUUUACUUUAAUGUACUACUGCAACAGUUUGUCAUCGCAACUCCUCUCAAACCACACAACAGAAUUUCACGAAACCUUUUCAGAUAAUAAGGACAUACUAUGUAGUUGUGCAUAUCGACGGGAAAUUGCGAUUCAAUUUAUUUUCUAGGAGUUACGCCCCUUUGAACUUAUUUACUUUAAUGUACUACUGCAACAGUUUGUCAUCGCAACUCCUCUCAAACCACACAACAGAAUUUCAUGAAACCUUUUCAGAUAAUAAGGACAUACUAUGUAGUUGUGCAUAUUCGACGGGAAAUUGCGAUUCAAUUUAUUUUCUAGGAGUUACGCCCCUUUGAACUUAUUUACUUUAAUGUACUACUGCAACAGUUUGUCAUCUCAUCUACUCUCAAACCACACAACAAAAUUUCAUGAAACCUUUUCAGAAAUAAGGACAUACUAUGUAGUUGUGCAUAUCAACGGGAAAUUGCGAUUCAAUUUUUUUCCUAGGAGUUACGCCCCUUUGAACUUAUUUACUUCAAUGUUUUACUGCAACAGUUUGUUAUGGCAACUCCUCUCAAACCACACAACAGAAUUUCACGAAACCUUUUCAGAUAUUAAGGACAUACGAUGUAGUUCUGCAUAUCGACGGGAAAUUGUGAUUCAAUUUUUUUUCUAGGAGUUACGCCCCUUUGAACUUAUUUGCUUCAAUGUACUUCUGCAACAGUUUGUCAUCUCAACUCCUCUGAAACCACACAACAGAAUUUCAUGAAAUUUUGUAGAUAAUAAGGACAUACUAUUUAGAUGUGCAUAUUGGCAGGAAAUUAAUUUUUCUUAUACAAUUUUUUUUUCUUACACUAAUUUAAUUUCUCCAAUGACAAUGUGGGGACGUGGGGUAUGUGAGUGUGCUCACUAAGGUUCUUUAAUUGUAUUUAAUGAUAAUACAUAAUAUAUAUAUACAUGUAAAGGUUGAUGAACACAGAUGCGGCCACUUUCAUUUUUUGACAAAAACCAUCAGAAAAGUGACAUUUUUUGGCAAAUUCAAUAGAUUUUUCAUACGAAAGCUUGAAUCUGAGCGUUUUUAAUGACUAAGUCAGUCAAAAUCUUUCACAUUAACUAAUUGAAUCAAUUGAAAUAGACAGUUAAGAGUUUAAAAAGUGUCCAAAAUCUUUCGUUAGAUGAAUUUGAAAUUUGAGGCCAAAAUCGGAACCUUACCUACUUCUUUUAUUUGUUACCUUAAGUAGUUGUUACUUUAGUUUAAACAUAUUUAUUUAUAGUGGAUUGGGAAACAAGUUUUACAACUUAUAUCAAUCCCUUUCCACUUUGCGGGUGCGAGUGCUGCCUUGUAGCGGCAUUAGCCUACUCUUUUUCGAAAUCUACAAGGGUGUCUUUAACGUGCAAGAGUUGUUACUUUAUCAUAUGGUACAAAAAUAAUUUAAAAAAAUCAAUUUUUGAUGGCCUCAGAUGAAUUGUAAAAUGUAGAUAUCAUUAAAAUUGCUCAAAAUUAUCUCCCUUUGGUAUAAAAAUGCCAUUUUUGGAACUCAUCCGUGACCUUUUUUUUUUAUUAUUAUUUUCAAUUAAGCUGUUCUUAAACUAAACUAUUGUAAAAUUUGAGCGAUUUCUGUAAUUAAGUUCUCUUAUUUCGGUAUUACAUGUACCUCUAUUUCUGCUAUUAGUUCAACAGAAAAAAGGUACCUUUACAAAAAUGUAUGCUUCUUUCGAAGGCAGGUUGUGAACGGUGACCCC
Molecule: long non-coding RNA, 3299 nt
Filed under: Mytilus galloprovincialis (Mediterranean mussel)
Lineage: Eukaryota; Metazoa; Mollusca; Bivalvia; Mytilida; Mytilidae
Source: RNAcentral